This 253-nucleotide ribosomal RNA is filed under the name uncultured bacterium. RNAcentral describes it as "partial 16S ribosomal RNA". It matches the Rfam family "Bacterial small subunit ribosomal RNA", at positions 524 to 776 of the family's 1533-position model. The record is from RNAcentral.
UACGGAGGGUGCAAGCGUUAAUCGGAAUUACUGGGCGUAAAGCGCACGUAGGCGGUUUUUUAAGUCAGAUGUGAAAGCCCCGGGCUCAACCUGGGAAUUGCAUUUGAAACUGGGAAACUAGAGUGUGUGAGAGGGGGGUAGAAUUCCAAGUGUAGCGGUGAAAUGCGUAGAGAUUUGGAGGAAUACCAGUGGCGAAGGCGGCCCCCUGGCACGAUACUGACGCUCAGGUGCGAAAGCGUGGGGAGCAAACAGG